AUUGAACGCUGGCGGCAUGCCUUACACAUGCAAGUCGAACGGCAGCACGGGCUUUGGCCUCUCGUCGCGUGGGGCACGGGUGUGUGAUAUAUAUCAACAUACGUACUUGAGUGGGGGAGAGCGCGGAGAGAGGGAGAUUUAUACCACACACGCUCAACGGAUAAGCGGGGGAGCUCCUGAGCUCUCGCUCUUUGGGGUUGGCCGAUGGCGGAUUAGCUAGUUGGUGGGGUAAAGGCCUACCAAGGCGACGAUCAGUAGCUGGUCUGAGAGGACGACCAGCCACACUGGGACUGAGACACGGCCCAGACUCCUACGGGAGGCAGCAGUGGGGAAUUUUGGACAAUGGGCGAAAGCCUGAUCCAGCAAUGCCGCGUGUGUGAAGAAGGCCUUCGGGUUGUAAAGCACUUUUGUCGGGAAAGAAAAGCAUUGCGCUAAUACGGUGGUGGGAUGACGGUACCCGAAGAAUAAGCACCGGCUAACUACGUG
This 486-nucleotide ribosomal RNA is filed under the name uncultured bacterium. RNAcentral describes it as "partial 16S ribosomal RNA". It matches the Rfam family "Bacterial small subunit ribosomal RNA", at positions 30 to 507 of the family's 1533-position model. The record is from RNAcentral.